UUUUGGGGAAUAUUGAGUAGUAAAAAUUGGGAAUUUUGGGGAAUACCAGUUGGGAUUUUGGGGGAUUUUUUAAAAUUUUUUGGGGGAUUUUUUGGGAAUUCCUGAUCCCAGUCUCUCCCUUUCCCCUCCCAGUGCCACCAGUGCCCCCAGUCCCAUCCCAAGGGAAUAAAACCUGGGAAUUUUGGGAAUUUAUGGGAAUUCCGUAUCCCAACCUCUCCCUUCCCCUCCCAGUGCCACCAGUACCCCCAGUCCCAUCCCAAGGGAAUAGAAACUGGGAAUUUAUGGGAAUUUUUUGGAAUAAAAACUGGGAAUUUUGGGAAUUUCUGUGAUUUUUUUUUCCCAGUUUCACCAGUACUCCCAGUCCCAUCCCAAGGGAAUAAAAACUGUAAAUUUUGGGGAAUUUUUUGGAACAAAACCUGGGAAUUUUGGGAAUUUCUGUGAAUUUUUUCCCAGUGCCACCAGUACCCGCAGCUGCCCCGCAAGGGGCCCCCCCACGGCAAGGGGGACCCCAAGGGCUCCUUUGGGGGUCCCUACGAGGAGCUGGAGCCCGAGGGGCUGCAGGAGGACGAGGACGAGGGAGCCAAGGACGACUUUGGGGAUUUCUCCAAGGAGCUGAGCCAGUACCGGCGCGCCAAGGACGGCGGGCACCGGCCCAGAGGUCGCGGCCGCGGCUGCCGCGGGUUCCGGGGGCGGGGGCGGGGCCCGGGGCGGGGCCGGGGGCGGGGCCCGGGGCGGGGCCGCGCCCGCAGCGACCCCGAGGAUGAGGAGGAGCCCUUCGAGGAGGAGAUGGAGGUGAGCGGGGAGGGCCCGGGAAUUCGGGAAUUCGGGAAUUCUGGGGUUUGGGAAUUCGGGAAUUUCCCGGGAUGUUCUUGAGGGAAUUCUGAGCCUGUCCUGGUGGAAUUCUGGGCUUGUCCUG
Molecule: long non-coding RNA, 916 nt
Filed under: Junco hyemalis (dark-eyed junco)
Lineage: Eukaryota; Metazoa; Chordata; Aves; Passeriformes; Passerellidae
Description: lncRNA (ENSJHYG00000001832.1)
Source: RNAcentral